CCUACGGGAGGCAGCAGUGGGGGAUAUUGCACAAUGGGGGGAACCCUGAUGCAGCGACGCCGCGUGGGUGAAGAAGCGCCUCGGCGCGUAAAGCCCUGUCAGCAGGGAAGAAAAUGACGGUACCUGAAGAAGAAGCCCCGGCUAACUACUUGCCAGCAGCCGCGGUAAUACGUAGGGGGCAGGCGUUAUCCGGAUUUACUGGGUGGAAAGGGGGCGCAGACGGCGAUGCAAGCCAGGAGUGAAAGCCCGGGGCCCAACCCCGGGACUGCUCUUGGAACUGCGUGGCUGGAGUGCAGGAGGGGUGGGCGGAAUUCCUGGUGUAGCGGUGAAAUGCGUAGAUAUCAGGAGGAACACCGGUGGCGAAGGCGGCCUGCUGGACUGCAACUGACGUUGAGGCCCGAAAGCGUGGGGAGCAAACAGGAUUAGAUACCCUGGUAGUC
Molecule: ribosomal RNA, 440 nt
Filed under: uncultured bacterium
Lineage: Bacteria
Description: partial 16S ribosomal RNA
Rfam family: Bacterial small subunit ribosomal RNA
Source: RNAcentral